This 2962-nucleotide ribosomal RNA is filed under the name Calothrix sp. PCC 7716. RNAcentral describes it as "23S ribosomal RNA". It matches the Rfam family "Bacterial large subunit ribosomal RNA". The record is from RNAcentral. Lineage: Bacteria; Bacillati; Cyanobacteriota; Cyanophyceae; Nostocales; Calotrichaceae.
UCAAGCGAAUAAGGGCUGACGGUGGAUACCUAGGCACGCAGCGGCGAAGAAGGACGUGGUUACCGACGAUAUGCUCCGGGGAGUUGGAAGCAAACAUUGAGCCGGAGAUUUCCGAAUGGGGCAACCCUAUAUACUACUUGUUGAACACAUAGACAAGUGAGAGCCAACCCAGCGAAUUGAAACAUCUUAGUAGCUGGAGGAAAAGAAAUCAAACGAGAUUCCCUUAGUAGUGGUGAGCGAAGGGGGAAGAGCCUAAACCAAAAUACAUGUAUUUUGGGGUAGUGGGACAGCGACAUGGAAUCGAGCGAUUAGACGAAGCAUUUAAUCGAUGCACCAAAGAAAGUAAAAGUCUUGUAGUCGAAAAUUUAACGAUACUAGCUGAAUCCCGAGUAGCAUGGAGCACGUGAAAUUCCAUGUGAAUCAGCCACGACCACGUGGUAAGGCUAAAUACGUCUGCGUGAGCGAUAGCGAACAAGUACCGCGAGGGAAAGGUGAAAAGAACCCCGUUGAGGGGAGUGAAAUAGAACAUGAAACCGUCAGCUUACAAGCAGUGGGAGUUCGAUUAAACGAAUGACCGCGUGCCUGUUGAAGAAUGAGCCGGCGAGUUAUAUGUGCUGGUAGGUUAAGUAGUAGUUACGAAGCCAAAGCGAAAGCGAGUCUGAAUAGGGCGAUUAUCAGUAUGUAUAGACCCGAACCCUGGCGAUCUAACCAUGUCCAGGAUGAAGCUUGGGUAACACCAAGUGAAGGUCCGAACCGACUAAUGUUGAAAAAUUAGCGGAUGAGGUGUGGUUAGGGGUGAAAUGCCAAUCGAGCCAGGAGCUAGCUGGUUCUCCCCGAAAUGUGUUUAGGCGCAGCGGUGAAUAUUAAGCUUUGGGGGUAAAGCACUGUUUCGGUGCGGGCUGGGAGACCGGUACCAAAUCGAGACAAACUCAGAAUACCAAAGUGUACUAUCACUAGUAAGACGGUGAGGGAUAAGCUUCAUCGUCAAGAGGGAAACAGCCCAGACCACCAGCUAAGGUCCCCAAAUCAAUGUUAAGUGGGAAAGGAGGUGCAAGUGCAAAGACAACCAGGAGGUUUGCCUAGAAGCAGCCACCCUAGAAUGAGUGCGUAAUAGCUCACUGGUCAAGCGCUUGCGCGCCGAAAAUGAACGGGACUAAACAUUGUACCGAAGCUGUGGACUAGAGUAAAAAGUGCUGAGUCCUGAGUGGAAGAAUAGUAGCGAGUGGUGAGUGCUGAGUGCUGAGUGUAUGAAUUUACUACUCAGCACUCAGCACUUUCAACUCAGCACUAAGAAAUUCACUCAGCACUCAGCACUUUAUAACUACUUUAUUGGUAGGGGAGCGUUCUAUUUGAUGCGAAGCAGUAGCGGCGAGCAGCUGUGGAUUGAAUAGAAGUGAGAAUGUCGGCUUGAGUAGCGCAAAUAUUGGUGAGAAUCCAAUACCCCGAAACCCCAAGGGUUCCAGAGGCAGGUUCGUCCACUCUGGGUAAGUCGGGACCUAAGGCGAGGGCGAAAGCCGUAGUCGAUGGACAUGAGGUUAAUAUUCCUCAACUAGAAUUGUGGAGCAUUAUUUGGGACGCACCGUUGAAGCAACUAUGCCCUGAUUGGAUUGGGAGGGGAAUACGUUCUCCGUUUAGUUGUGAUUGGUGUCAAGAAAAGCAAUUAAUGUGUUGAAGCAGUUAUACCCGUACUCGAAACCGACACAGGUGGGGAGGUAGAGAAUACCAAGGGGCGCGAGAUAACUCUCUCUAAGGAACUCGGCAAAAUAGCCCCGUAACUUCGGAAGAAGGGGUGCCCAGUGAAAACUGGGUCGCAGUGAAUAGGUCCAGGCGACUGUUUACCAAAAACACAGGUCUCUGCAAACGAGUAAUCGGAAGUAUAGGGGCUGACGCCUGCCCAGUGCCGGAAGGUUAAGGAAGUUGGUCAGGGGGAAACUUUAAAGCUGACGACCGAAGCCCCGGUGAACGGCGGCCGUAACUAUAACGGUCCUAAGGUAGCGAAAUUCCUUGUCGGGUAAGUUCCGACCCGCACGAAAGGCGUAACGAUCUGGACGGUGUCUCGGAGAGAGACUCGGCGAAAUAGGAUUGUCUGUGAAGAUACGGACUGCCUGCACCUGGACAGAAAGACCCUAUGAAGCUUUACUGUAGCCUGGAAUUGUGUUCGGGCUUGGCUUGCGCAGGAUAGGUGGGAAGCGUAGAGACAUUCCUUGUGGGGAAUGUGGAGCUAACGGUGAGAUACCACUCUGGCGAAGCUAGAAUUCUAACCAAUGUCCGUAAUCCGGAAUUGGAACAUUUUCAGGUGGGCAGUUUGACUGGGGCGGUCGCCUCCUAAAAGGUAACGGAGGCGCGCAAUGGUUCUCUCAGCACGGUUGGAAAUCGUGCGUCGAGUGUAAAGGCAAUAAGAGAGCUUGACUGUGAUACCAACAAGUAGAACAGGUACGAAAGUAGGCCUUAGUGAUCCGACGGCGCAGAGUGGAAUGGCCGUCGCUCAACGGAUAAAAGUUACUCUAGGGAUAACAGGCUGAUCUCCCCCAAGAGUCCACAUCGACGGGGAGGUUUGGCACCUCGAUGUCGGCUCAUCGCAACCUGGGGCGGAAGUACGUCCCAAGGGUUGGGCUGUUCGCCCAUUAAAGCGGUACGUGAGCUGGGUUCAGAACGUCGUGAGACAGUUCGGUCCAUAUCCGGUGCAGGCGUAAGAACAUUGAGAGGAGCCUUCCUUAGUACGAGAGGACCGGGAAGGACGAACCGCUGGUGUGCCAGUUAUUCCGCCAGGAGUAAACGCUGGGUAGCCAUGUUCGGAGCGGAUAACCGCUGAAAGCAUCUAAGUGGGAAGCCCACCUCAAGAUGAGUGUUCUCAUCACUAUAAGUGAGUAAGGUCACACGUAGAACACGUGUUAAUAGGCUUUAGGUGGAAGCGUGGUAACAUGCGAAGCCGAGAAGUACUAACAGACCGAGGGCUUGACCU